UGGAUCCAGACUUUGAUCCUGGCUCAGGAUGAACGCUGGCGGCGUGCCUAACACAUGCAAGUCGAACGAAGCUUGACGGAUGAUUUCUUCGGAAUGAAACCUGAUAUGACUUAGUGGCGGACGGGUGAGUAACACGUGAGCAACCUGCCUUUCAGAGGGGGAUAACGGCUGGAAACGGUCGCUAAUACCGCAUGAUGUGUUCGGAUGGCAUCAUCUGAACAUCAAAGAUUUAUCGCUGAAAGAUGGGCUCGCGUCUGAUUAGAUAGUUGGUGGGGUAACGGCCUACCAAGUCUACGAUCAGUAGCCGGACUGAGAGGUUGAACGGCCACAUUGGGACUGAGAUACGGCCCAGACUCCUACGGGAGGCAGCGGAGGGGAAUAUUGCACAAUGGGGGAAACCCUGAUGCAGCAACGCCGCGUGAAGGAUGACGGUUUUCGGAUUGUAAACUUCUUUUCUUAGUGACGAAGACAGUGACGGUAGCUAAGGAAUAAGCAUCGGCUAACUACGUGCCAGCAGCCGCGGUGAUACGUAGGAUGCAAGCGUUAUCCGGAUUUACUGGGUGUAAAGGGAGCGCAGGCGGGACUGCAAGUUGGAUGUGAAAUACCGUGGCUUAACCACGGAACUGCAUCCAAAACUGUAGUUCUUGAGUGAAGUAGAGGCAAGCGGAAUUCCGAGUGUAGCGGUGAAAUGCGUAGAUAUUCGGAGGAACACCAGUGGCGAAGGCGGCUUGCUGGGCUUUAACUGACGCUGAAGCUCGAAAGUGUGGGGAGCAAACAGGAUUAGAUACCCUGGUAGUCCACACUGUAAACGAUGAUAGCUAGGUGUGGGGGGUCUGACCCCUUCCGUGCCGGAGUUAACGCAAUAAGCUAUCCACCUGGGGAGUACGACCGCAAGGUUGCAACUCAAAUGAAUUGACGGA
This 920-nucleotide ribosomal RNA is filed under the name uncultured Bacillota bacterium. Its description in RNAcentral is "bacterial SSU rRNA". It matches the Rfam family "Bacterial small subunit ribosomal RNA", at positions 1 to 917 of the family's 1533-position model. Lineage: Bacteria; Bacillati; Bacillota. The record is from RNAcentral.